This 63-nucleotide transfer RNA is filed under the name Seison sp. MS-2015. RNAcentral describes it as "tRNA-Met". Lineage: Eukaryota; Metazoa; Rotifera; Pararotatoria; Seisonacea; Seisonidae. The record is from RNAcentral.
AAAAAGAUAAGCUAAUUGAAGCUGUAGUGUUCAUACCUCUAUGAUGAAUUUUUUCUCUUUUUG